UAGGGAAUCUUCCACAAUGGACGCAAGUCUGAUGGAGCAACGCCGCGUGAGUGAGAAGGGUUUCGGCUCGUAAAGCUCUGUUGUUAAAGAAGAACGUGGGUAAGAGUAACNGUUUACCCAGUGACGGUAUUUAACCAGAAAGCCACGGCUAACUACGUGCCAG
RNAcentral lists this ribosomal RNA (163 nucleotides) under uncultured bacterium. RNAcentral describes it as "partial 16S rRNA". It matches the Rfam family "Bacterial small subunit ribosomal RNA", at positions 355 to 511 of the family's 1533-position model. The record is from RNAcentral.